CCUAUCUGCAGUCGAGCGAAUCAAUAGGAGCUUGCUCCUGUUUGGUUAGCGGCGGACGGGUGAGUAACACGUGGGCAACCUGCCUGUAAGACUGGGAUAACACCGGGAAACCGGUGCUAAUACCGGAUAAUCCUUUUCCUCUCAUGAGGAAAAGCUGAAAGUCGGUUUCGGCUGACACUUACAGAUGGGCCCGCGGCGCAUUAGCUAGUUGGUGAGGUAACGGCUCACCAAGGCGACGAUGCGUAGCCGACCUGAGAGGGUGAUCGGCCACACUGGGACUGAGACACGGCCCAGACUCCUACGGGAGGCAGCAGUAGGGAAUCUUCCACAAUGGACGAAAGUCUGAUGGAGCAACGCCGCGUGAGCGAUGAAGGCCUUCGGGUCGUAAAGCUCUGUUGUUAGGGAAGAACAAGUACCGGAGUAACUGCCGGUACCUUGACGGUACCUAACCAGAAAGCCACGGCUAACUACGUGCCAGCAGCCGCGGUAAUACGUAGGUGGCAAGCGUUGUCCGGAAUUAUUGGGCGUAAAGCGCGCGCAGGCGGUCCUUUAAGUCUGAUGUGAAAGCCCACGGCUCAACCGUGGAGGGUCAUUGGAAACUGGGGGACUUGAGUGCAGAAGAGGAAAGCGGAAUUCCACGUGUAGCGGUGAAAUGCGUAGAGAUGUGGAGGAACACCAGUGGCGAAGGCGGCUUUCUGGUCUGUAACUGACGCUGAGGCGCGAAAGCGUGGGGAGCAAAACAGGAUUAGAUACCCUGGUAGUCCACCCCGUAAACGAUGAGUGCUAAGUGUUAAAGGGUUUCCGCCCUUUAGUGCUGCAGCUAACGCAUUAAGCACUCCGCCUGGGGGAGU
Molecule: ribosomal RNA, 851 nt
Filed under: uncultured bacterium
Lineage: Bacteria
Description: bacterial SSU rRNA
Rfam family: Bacterial small subunit ribosomal RNA
Source: RNAcentral